This 472-nucleotide ribosomal RNA is filed under the name uncultured Streptococcus sp. RNAcentral's name for it is "bacterial SSU rRNA". It matches the Rfam family "Bacterial small subunit ribosomal RNA", at positions 908 to 1382 of the family's 1533-position model. The record is from RNAcentral. Lineage: Bacteria; Bacillati; Bacillota; Bacilli; Lactobacillales; Streptococcaceae.
AAUUGACGGGGCCCGCACAAGCGGUGGAGCAUGUGGUUUAAUUCGACGCAACGCGAAGAACCUUACCAGGUCUUGACAUCCCGAUGCUAUUUCUAGAGAUAGAAAGUUACUUCGGUACAUCGGUGACAGGUGGUGCAUGGUUGUCGUCAGCUCGUGUCGUGAGAUGUUGGGUUAAGUCCCGCAACGAGCGCAACCCCUAUUGUUAGUUGCCAUCAUUCAGUUGGGCACUCUAGCGAGACUGCCGGUAAUAAACCGGAGGAAGGUGGGGAUGACGUCAAAUCAUCAUGCCCCUUAUGACCUGGGCUACACACGUGCUACAAUGGUUGGUACAACGAGUUGCGAGUCGGUGACGGCGAGCUAAUCUCUUAAAGCCAAUCUCAGUUCGGAUUGUAGGCUGCAACUCGCCUACAUGAAGUCGGAAUCGCUAGUAAUCGCGGAUCAGCACGCCGCGGUGAAUACGUUCCCGGGCCUU